UGGCUUCAGCAGUCCAUACACUAAAAUUGGAACAAUACAGAGAAGAUUAUUAUGGCCCCUGCAUAAUGAUGACAUGCAAAUUCAUGAUGCAUUCUGUAUUUUA
Small nuclear RNA from Nannospalax galili (Upper Galilee mountains blind mole rat), 103 nucleotides. NCBI's taxonomy places the organism in Eukaryota, Metazoa, Chordata, Mammalia, Rodentia, Spalacidae. The record is from Ensembl.